GUACCUGCAAGAUGGUCAUAGUUAUUUUUAAAAUAAAUAUGUUGAAGUACAUAUUUCUUUCUUUGACAAACAUCAACCAGCUGCAACUGGCCUAGAAAUGCUUAUAAAUAUCUGUUAUCCGUAAUUUGUAUAAUACAUGUUUCGUUACGUGAAACAGUGCCCAGAUCGUUUUGUAUUGUUCUUACGUAGCCUUUUUAAUCUGUAUGAUUUAUUGCUUCUGGAAAGAAUUUACACUAUUUUUCCCCUCUGUACGUUGUUUAAGUAAAAUACUUAAGAAUAGCAGCAACUAUAUGUCCGAUACAAAAAUUAAGUACUGA
Non-coding RNA from Lolium perenne, 317 nucleotides. NCBI's taxonomy places the organism in Eukaryota, Viridiplantae, Streptophyta, Magnoliopsida, Poales, Poaceae. The record is from RefSeq and is a predicted model, not a curated record.